Molecule: unclassified non-coding RNA, 253 nt
Filed under: uncultured Pseudomonadaceae bacterium
Lineage: Bacteria; Pseudomonadati; Pseudomonadota; Gammaproteobacteria; Pseudomonadales; Pseudomonadaceae
Description: contains 16S-23S intergenic spacer region
Rfam family: Bacterial small subunit ribosomal RNA
Source: RNAcentral
UACAGAGGGUGCAAGCGUUAAUCGGAAUUACUGGGCGUAAAGCGCGCGUAGGUGGUUUGUUAAGUUGGAUGUGAAAGCCCCGGGCUCAACCUGGGAACUGCAUCCAAAACUGGCAAGCUAGAGUACAGUUAGGGUAAACGGAAUUCCACGUGUAGCGGUGAAAUGCGUAGAUAUGUGGAAGAACAACGGUGGUGAAGACGGUUUACUGGGCUGAAACUGACGCUGAGGAGCGAAAGCGUGGGGAGCGAACAGG